This 492-nucleotide ribosomal RNA is filed under the name uncultured bacterium. Its description in RNAcentral is "partial 16S ribosomal RNA". It matches the Rfam family "Bacterial small subunit ribosomal RNA", at positions 29 to 507 of the family's 1533-position model. The record is from RNAcentral.
AGUGAACGCUGGCGGUAGGCCUAACACAUGCAAGUCGAACGGCAGCACAGUAAGAGCUUGCUCUUACGGGUGGCGAGUGGCGGACGGGUGAGGAAUACAUCGGAAUCUACUUUUUCGUGGGGGAUAACGUAGGGAAACUUACGCUAAUACCGCAUACGACCUACGGGUGAAAGCAGGGGAUCUUCGGACCUUGCGCGAUUGAAUGGGCCGAUGUCGGAUUAGCUAGUUGGCGGGGUAAAGGCCCACCAAGGAGACGAUCCGUAGCUGGUCUGAGAGGAUGAUCAGCCACACUGGAACUGAGACACGGUCCAGACUCCUACGGGAGGCAGCAGUGGGGAAUAUUGGACAAUGGGCGCAAGCCUGAUCCAGCCAUACCGCGUGGGUGAAGAAGGCCUUCGGGUUGUAAAGCCCUUUUGUUGGGAAAGAAAAGCAGCAGGUUAAUACCCCGCUGUUCUGACGGUACCCAAAGAAUAAGCACCGGCUAACUUCGUG